Molecule: ribosomal RNA, 497 nt
Filed under: uncultured bacterium
Lineage: Bacteria
Description: partial 16S ribosomal RNA
Rfam family: Bacterial small subunit ribosomal RNA
Source: RNAcentral
GAUGAACGCUGGCGGCGUGCCUAAUACAUGCAAGUAGAACGCUGAAGGAAGGAGCUUGCUCUUUCCGGAUGAGUUGCGAACGGGUGAGUAACGCGUAGGUAACCUGCCUGGUAGCGGGGGAUAACUAUUGGAAACGAUAGCUAAUACCGCAUAACAGUAGAUGUUGCAUGAUAUCUACUUAAAAGGUGCAAUUGCACCACUACCAGAUGGACCUGCGUUGUAUUAGCUAGUUGGUGAGGUAACGGCUCACCAAGGCGACGAUACAUAGCCGACCUGAGAGGGUUAUCGGCCACACUGGGACUGAGACACGGCCCAGACUCCUACGGGAGGCAGCAGUAGGGAAUCUUUGGCAAUGGACGGAAGUCUGACCGAGCAACGCCGCGUGAGUGAAGAAGGUUUUCGGAUCGUAAAGCUCUGUUGUAAGAGAAGAACGAGUGUGAGAGUGGAAAGUUCACACUGUGACGGUAUCUUACCAGAAAGGGACGGCUAACUACGUG